GAUGAACGCUGGCGGCGUGCCUAAUACAUGCAAGUCGAACGCGCCGAGAAGGGAACUUGUUCCUUUCAACGCGAGUGGCGAACGGGUGAGUAACACGUGGGAAACCUACCCUUCAGCGGGGGAUAACCAUCGGAAACGAUGACUAAUACCGCAUAGUUGUUCCAGUCGCAUGACUGGAAUGGGAAAGACGGCUUCGGCUGUCACUGAAGGAUGGUCCCGCGGUGCAUUAGCUAGACGGUGGGGUAACGGCCUACCGUGGCUUUGAUGCAUAGCCGACCUGAGAGGGUGAUCGGCCACAUUGGGACUGAGACACGGCCCAAACUCCUACGGGAGGCAGCAGUAGGGAAUCUUCCGCAAUGGACGCAAGUCUGACGGAGCAACGCCGCGUGUGUGAAGAAGGUCUUCGGAUCGUAAAGCACUGUUAUCAGAGAAGAAGAGCAUAUAGAGUAACUGUUAUAGGUUUGACGGUAACUGAUCAGAAAGCCACGGCUAACUACGUG
This 500-nucleotide ribosomal RNA is filed under the name uncultured bacterium. Its description in RNAcentral is "partial 16S ribosomal RNA". It matches the Rfam family "Bacterial small subunit ribosomal RNA", at positions 28 to 507 of the family's 1533-position model. The record is from RNAcentral.